This 782-nucleotide non-coding RNA is filed under the name Priotyrannus closteroides. Lineage: Eukaryota; Metazoa; Arthropoda; Insecta; Coleoptera; Cerambycidae. The record is from RNAcentral.
AAAAAGUUUUAUUCUGGCUUAAAAGUUAGGUCUGGCCUGGUUUUACAUGUGAGUUUUUGCAGGAUUUAGGGUUGCCCUAGAUGGACAAUUUGGGUUUUUAUUUGUUCGCAGUAGGGGGGAUUUAAAUAUCAAUUAAAAUUGGAUUUGGUUAUGGUCAAGAAUAUUGACGGAAUUUGUGCCAGCAGUUGCGGUUAUACAAAUAAUUUAAUUUAACUUUUUCGGCUAUUAGUUAAUUAUUGGGGUUAAAGCUUUAAUUUUAGGUUUAUUAGGUGAAAUUUUAAAUUUAAAAUAAAUGCUAUUUUAGAUGAGGCUAAGAAAUUCUUUAUUUAAACUAGGAUUAGAUACCCUAUUAUUUUGAAUGUAAAUUAUUUUUUGCUUGAUUAGUAUUAGUUAUUUUCUUGAAAAUUAAAGAUUUUGGCGGUAUUUUAGUCUAUUCAGAGGAACCUGUCCUGUAAUCGAUGGUCCACGAGUGUCACUACUUUUUUAAAAUGUUUGUAUAUCGUCGUAGUUUGAACAUUUUUUUAGGAAAUUAAUGUUCAUGAUUUUAUUUAUAAAGGAGAUCAGAUCAAGGUGCAGCUAUAGGGAAGGAGAGAUGGGUUACAAUAAAUUUAUUUUAGGAUUGGGGGGUUUUAAGCUUCCAUAAAUGCGGAUUUGAGGGUAAUUUUAAUUUAAUAGUUAGUAUGAUUUGGCUCUAAAAUAUGCACAUAUCGCCCGUCGCUUUCAUUACAAGGUGAAAUAAGUCGUAACAUAGUAGUCUUACUGGAAGGUGAGUCUAGACAGAC